This 1376-nucleotide ribosomal RNA is filed under the name uncultured bacterium. RNAcentral describes it as "bacterial SSU rRNA". It matches the Rfam family "Bacterial small subunit ribosomal RNA", at positions 27 to 1393 of the family's 1533-position model. The record is from RNAcentral.
GAUUGAACGCUGGCGGUAUGCUUAACACAUGCAAGUCGAACGGAAACGAUACUAGCUUGCUAGUAGGCGUCGAGUGGCGGACGGGUGAGUAACGCGUAGGAAUCUGCCUGAUGGUGGGGGAUAGCCCGAAGAAAUUCGGAUUAAUACCGCAUAAUCUAUUCGUAGUAAAGUGGGGGACUUUCGAGCCUCACGCUAUCAGAUGAGCCUGCGUAAGAUUAGCUAGUUGGUAGGGUAAAAGCCUACCAAGGCGACGAUCUUUAGCUGGUCUGAGAGGAUGAUCAGCCACAUCGGGACUGAGACACGGCCCGAACUCCUACGGGAGGCAGCAGUGGGGAAUAUUGGACAAUGGGGGCAACCCUGAUCCAGCAAUACCGCGUGUGUGAAGAAGGCCUGAGGGUUGUAAAGCACUUUCAAUUGUGAAGAAAAGCUAGUGGUUAAUAGCCAUUAGCCUUGACGUUAACUUUAGAAGAAGCACCGGCUAACUCCGUGCCAGCAGCCGCGGUAAUACGGAGGGUGCAAGCGUUAAUCGGAAUUACUGGGCGUAAAGCGUGCGUAGGCGGUUUAUUAAGUCAGAUGUGAAAGCCCCGGGCUUAACCUGGGAACUGCAUUUGAAACUGGUCAACUAGAGUAUGGUAGAGGAAAGUGGAAUUUCUGGUGUAGCGGUGAAAUGCGUAGAUAUCAGAAGGAACAUCAAUGGCGAAGGCAACUUUCUGGACCAAUACUGACGCUGAGGUACGAAAGCGUGGGUAGCAAACAGGAUUAGAUACCCUGGUAGUCCACGCCGUAAACGAUGAUAACUAGCCGUUGGGGGGAUUUACCCCUUAGUGGGCGAAGCUAACGCGUUAAGUUAUCCGCCUGGGGAGUACGGCCGCAAGGUUAAAACUCAAAGGAAUUGACGGGGACCCGCACAAGCGGUGGAGCAUGUGGUUUAAUUCGAUGCAACGCGAAGAACCUUACCUGGUCUUGACAUCCUGCGAACUUUCUAGAAAUAGAUUGGUGCCUUCGGGAACGCAGUGACAGGUGCUGCAUGGCUGUCGUCAGCUCGUGUCGUGAGAUGUUGGGUUAAGUCCCGUAACGAGCGCAACCCCUAUCCUUAUUUGCCAGCACAUCAUGGUGGGAACUAUAAGGAGACUGCCGGUGAUAAACCGGAGGAAGGCGGGGACGACGUCAAGUCAUCAUGGCCCUUACGACCAGGGCUACACACGUGCUACAAUGGGAAGGACAAAGAGCCGCGAAGCCGCGAGGUGUAGCUAAUCUCAGAAACCUUUUCGUAGUCCGGAUUGGAGUCUGCAACUCGACUCCAUGAAGUCGGAAUCGCUAGUAAUCGUAGAUCAGAAUGCUACGGUGAAUACAUUCCCGGGUCUUGUACACACCGC